UAAAUCAUUUCUUAAAUGGAACAUACACGCCUCGUCUAAUAACUAAAGUGAUUUGUUAUUAGACGAGGCGAGAUUUGUUUAAAACAUUAAAAUUUCGUC
This is a non-coding RNA of Cinara cedri, 99 nucleotides long. Lineage: Eukaryota; Metazoa; Arthropoda; Insecta; Hemiptera; Aphididae. The record is from the annotation of a GenBank genome assembly.